This 240-nucleotide unclassified non-coding RNA is filed under the name soil metagenome. Its description in RNAcentral is "partial contains 5.8S ribosomal RNA, internal transcribed spacer 2, and large subunit ribosomal RNA". The record is from RNAcentral.
AAGACUAUAGACCUGCGGAGUACCUGCGGAAGGAUCAUUAUUGAUUUUUAACAGGAUGUGCUGGCUCUCAAGGGGGCAAUGUGCACUCCUAAUAAAACCAAUAUCCACCUGUGCACCUUAAGUAGACUAGUAGGACUCAUCACAGUCUUUCCAGUCUAUGUUCCUUCACAAACCUUUUGAAAUGUAAAUGAAUGAUCAUCUGUAUAAUUAAUAACAACUUUCAGCAACGGAUCUCUAGAU